CAAAGUCUACAGAGAAGUGUCUGAUAGUGGUAGGUACUGCAACAUGUCUGGGACCUUGGUGGAGAAUGGCCCAGCAUUCUCCUGAAGUAGUGUGGACAAUGGUAAUUACAGCAGGGGACAUGAAGCUCUUCAAGGUAUUAAUAUGUGCUGAAACACUGCUAUAUUGAUGAUAAUAAUUAUCUUCAUAAUAAACUGACUUGAUCCAGGCAGACAGAUGGAUGGAAAAGUGAGAAAAGAACUAAAAAAGGGCACACAGAUUAAUAGUUUGGAAGGGAAGAGAAAGCAGAUGCACAGCCCUUAAAGCAUGCACACAGCAGCUCUGAUUUACCUGUAACAAAGCAAAGCCACAGCCAAGCCAUCUUCCCAGCUCUGCAAUAAAUCCAGGUGAGAAUCCAAGGCAUUGUAAGCCAUUACUUGCUGGGUUUAGGCAUACAGAGAAUGUUAGUUUGAAAACAGGAUCAUGUGUCCUUUUGUUGCCACAAGAG
Molecule: long non-coding RNA, 485 nt
Organism: Passer domesticus (house sparrow)
Lineage: Eukaryota; Metazoa; Chordata; Aves; Passeriformes; Passeridae
Exons: 3
Source: RefSeq, a predicted model, not a curated record